Molecule: transfer RNA, 73 nt
Filed under: Operophtera brumata (winter moth)
Lineage: Eukaryota; Metazoa; Arthropoda; Insecta; Lepidoptera; Geometridae
Rfam family: tRNA
About the family: Transfer RNA (tRNA) molecules are approximately 80 nucleotides in length.
Source: Rfam by way of RNAcentral
CGUUCUAUUGCCGAAUUGGUAAAGACAUCGCCGAUCACAGGCGAGGGUGCGGGUUCGAGUCCCGCUGGAACGA